RNAcentral lists this ribosomal RNA (253 nucleotides) under uncultured bacterium. Its description in RNAcentral is "partial 16S ribosomal RNA". It matches the Rfam family "Bacterial small subunit ribosomal RNA", at positions 524 to 776 of the family's 1533-position model. The record is from RNAcentral.
UACAGAGGUCCCGAGCGUUGUUCGGAUUCAUUGGGCGUAAAGGGUGCGUAGGCGGUCUUCUAAGUUUGAUGUGAAAUCCCGGGGCUCAACCCUGGAAUUGCAUUGAAUACUGGAGGACUAGAGUACCGGAGAGGAAACUGGAAUUUACGGUGUAGCAGUGAAAUGCGUAGAGAUCGGAAGGAAGACCAGUGGCGAAGGCGAGUUUCUGGACGGUAACUGACGCUGAGGCACGAAGGCCAGGGGAGCAAACGGG